Molecule: small nucleolar RNA, 105 nt
Organism: Eutrema salsugineum
Lineage: Eukaryota; Viridiplantae; Streptophyta; Magnoliopsida; Brassicales; Brassicaceae
Rfam family: Plant small nucleolar RNA R71
About the family: R71 is a member of the C/D box family of snoRNAs containing the C (UGAUGA) and D (CUGA) box motifs. Multiple nearly identical copies of this snoRNA have been identified in Arabidopsis, and it is thought to function as a 2'-O-ribose methylation guide for 18S ribosomal RNA.
Source: Rfam
AAACUAUGAUGGGGACAUUGGUUUGUGUAACUCCUAAACAUUUCCCAUGCUUCCCCAAAGCUUUCAUUUUGUGCUGGUAAAGCUUGAGAUUUGAUUCCUCAACUU